AUCCAGGAUGCGUCCCAAAUAGGACGAAAUGCGCAUCCUGGAU
RNAcentral lists this non-coding RNA (43 nucleotides) under Trichobilharzia regenti. Lineage: Eukaryota; Metazoa; Platyhelminthes; Trematoda; Strigeidida; Schistosomatidae. The record is from RNAcentral.